AAUAGGAGUAUGGCAAAUCAGAUUUUUUCUCUUAAUUUUCAACCUUUUCCUCUCAAAAAAUUCAAAUCCAACUAAAAAUACAAAAUCAGGAGAAAAAAUCUAAUUUAUCAUGCACCUAUU
Non-coding RNA from Gossypium raimondii (Peruvian cotton), 120 nucleotides. Lineage: Eukaryota; Viridiplantae; Streptophyta; Magnoliopsida; Malvales; Malvaceae. The record is from Rfam.